RNAcentral lists this ribosomal RNA (243 nucleotides) under uncultured bacterium. RNAcentral describes it as "partial 16S ribosomal RNA". It matches the Rfam family "Bacterial small subunit ribosomal RNA", at positions 529 to 771 of the family's 1533-position model. The record is from RNAcentral.
AGGGCGCGAGCGUUGUCCGGAUUUACUGGGUGUAAAGGGUGCGUAGGCGGGCUUGCAAGUCAGACGUGAAAUACCGGGGCUUAACUCCGGGGCUGCGUUUGAAACUGCAGGUCUUGAGUGAAGUAGAGGCAGGCGGAAUUCCUAGUGUCGCGGUGAAAUGCGUAGAUAUUAGGAGGAACACCAGUGGCGAAGGCGGCCUGCUGGGCUUUAACUGACGCUGAGGCACGAAAGCAUGGGGAGCAA